This 1352-nucleotide ribosomal RNA is filed under the name Rugamonas rubra. RNAcentral's name for it is "bacterial LSU rRNA". It matches the Rfam family "Bacterial large subunit ribosomal RNA", at positions 1581 to 2925 of the family's 2925-position model. The record is from RNAcentral. Lineage: Bacteria; Pseudomonadati; Pseudomonadota; Betaproteobacteria; Burkholderiales; Oxalobacteraceae.
AUUCGUGAAGCAAUCGGAAGUGGUUCCAAGAAAAGCCUCUAAGCUUCAGUCAUACGAGACCGUACCGCAAACCGACACAGGUGGGCGAGAUGAGUAUUCUAAGGCGCUUGAGAGAACUCGGGAGAAGGAACUCGGCAAAUUGGUACCGUAACUUCGGGAAAAGGUACGCCCUUGUAGCUUGACCACUUUACUGUGGAAGGGUGAACGGGUUGCAAUAAACUGGUGGCUGCGACUGUUUAAUAAAAACACAGCACUCUGCAAACACGAAAGUGGACGUAUAGGGUGUGACGCCUGCCCGGUGCUGGAAGAUUAAAUGAUGGGGUGCAAGCUCUUGAUUGAAGUCCCAGUAAACGGCGGCCGUAACUAUAACGGUCCUAAGGUAGCGAAAUUCCUUGUCGGGUAAGUUCCGACCUGCACGAAUGGCGUAACGAUGGCCACACUGUCUCCUCCCGAGACUCAGCGAAGUUGAAAUGUUUGUGAUGAUGCAAUCUACCCGCGGCUAGACGGAAAGACCCCAUGAACCUUUACUGUAGCUUUGCAUUGGACUUUGAACCAAUCUGUGUAGGAUAGGUGGGAGGCUUUGAAGCGGGGACGCCAGUCUUCGUGGAGCCAACCUUGAAAUACCACCCUGGUUUGUUUGAGGUUCUAACCUUGGUCCGUUAUCCGGAUCGGGGACAGUGCAUGGUAGGCAGUUUGACUGGGGCGGUCUCCUCCUAAAGUGUAACGGAGGAGUUCGAAGGUACGCUAGAUACGGUCGGACAUCGUGUUGAUAGUGCAAUGGCAUAAGCGUGCUUAACUGCGAGACUGACAAGUCGAGCAGGUACGAAAGUAGGACAUAGUGAUCCGGUGGUUCUGUAUGGAAGGGCCAUCGCUCAACGGAUAAAAGGUACUCUGGGGAUAACAGGCUGAUUCCUCCCAAGAGUUCAUAUCGACGGGGGAGUUUGGCACCUCGAUGUCGGCUCAUCACAUCCUGGGGCUGUAGCCGGUCCCAAGGGUAUGGCUGUUCGCCAUUUAAAGUGGUACGUGAGCUGGGUUUAAAACGUCGUGAGACAGUUUGGUCCCUAUCUGCCGUGGGCGUUGGAAAUUUGAAGGGGGCUGCUCCUAGUACGAGAGGACCGGAGUGGACAGACCUCUGGUGUACCGGUUGUCACGCCAGUGGCAUUGCCGGGUAGCUAAGUCUGGAAGAGAUAACCGCUGAAAGCAUCUAAGCGGGAAACUUGCCUUGAGAUGAGAUUUCCCAGAGCCUUGAGCUCUUUGAAGGGUCGUUCGAGACCAGGACGUUGAUAGGCUGGGUGUGGAAGUGCAGUAAUGCAUUAAGCUAACCAGUACUAAUUGCCCGUACGGCUUGUCCC